Molecule: non-coding RNA, 112 nt
Organism: Hypoxylon sp. FL1857
Lineage: Eukaryota; Fungi; Ascomycota; Sordariomycetes; Xylariales; Hypoxylaceae
Source: the annotation of a GenBank genome assembly
GCCCGACUAGCUCAUCGGUAGAGCGCCUCACUAGUAUAUCUUCUCUCUAAUAUACAGGAAAGAUAUUCCAUUAGGAAUGAGGAGGCAACAGGUUCGAUUCCUGUGUUGGGCA